RNAcentral lists this ribosomal RNA (484 nucleotides) under uncultured bacterium. RNAcentral describes it as "partial 16S ribosomal RNA". It matches the Rfam family "Bacterial small subunit ribosomal RNA", at positions 28 to 507 of the family's 1533-position model. The record is from RNAcentral.
AUUGAACGCUGGCGGCAUGCUUUACACAUGCAAGUCGAACGGCAGCGCGGGCUUCGGCCUGGUGGCGAGUGGCGAACGGGUGAGUAAUGCAUCGGAACGUGCCUACUAGUGGGGGAUAGCCCGGCGAAAGCCGGAUUAAUACCGCAUAUGACCUGAGGGGGAAAGCGGGGGACCGAAAGGCCUCGCGCUAUUGGAGCGGCCCGUGCCGUAGUAGCUAGUUGGUGGGGUAAAGGCUUACCAAGGCGACGAUCCGUAUCUGGUCUGAGAGGACGAUCAGCCACACUGGGACUGAGACACGGCCCAGACUCCUGCGGGAGGCAGCAGUGGGGAAUUUUGGACAGUGGGGGCAACCCUGGUCCAGCCGUGCCGCGUGCGGGAAGAAGGCCUGCGGGUGGUGAACCGCUUUUGUUAGGGAAGAAAUCCUAUGGGCUAAUACCCCGGGGGGAUGACGGUACCGGAAGAAUAAGCACCGGCUAACUACGUG